GCGGCUCCGCCCCUCCAUGGGCUUCUCGCACCUCCCCACCCUCCCACCCCCGAGUUCUUUUCCUAUUCACUUCCUAACCCCGACCCUUGCUACAACCUCAAAUCCCGGGAUCUUGGAUCUAUCUCCCCGGCCUUCCGAGCAGGUUCAUGAGCAGACCUGGGUCCAGCAGUUGGUGCAGGAGAUGAAGACCCUCUUCUUGAAUAUUGAGUACCUGAUACCCUUUUUCCUUAACCAGUGUGGCUCCCUUCUCUACUACCUCACUUUGGCAUCAACAGAUCUGACCCUAGCUGUGCCCAUCAGUAACUCUCUGGCCAUCGUCUUCACACUGAUUGUCGGGAAGUUCCUUGGAGAAGAUAUUGGUGGAAAACGCUCUUUGACUACUCCCAACUCACUCACAAGCUUGCGAAAUCAUUCGAAGCCAGCAGCCACAUACUGCCUUCCGUUCUGCAGCAGUGACCAGCCUUUAACCAGACUGACCCCACCCUCGGAGAAGCAGAACAAGCAGAAAGGACCCACAUUCCUGACUGACCAACUCUGGGAGAAGAGCUGCCUGUGCUAGUUUUUAAGGGGAAAGCCAGCAAAGGAGUUUCAUCUGCUUCUGGGAGUUCCGGUGCUCCUCCAGCUGGGGACAGAGAGGCAGAGAACAGAAGUACCCAGAGGAGUAGGGGCCACAAGCUCCAUACCCGCCAAUCCACCUGCACUUGUCCUCUCCUCCAUUCAUGAGGACCUGGCCGAGCUUCUCACCACAGCCAAGCCCUUUCCUGGUGCACUGGACCUCACUUCCUCUCAUUUACCUGAGAACAUCAUUCUAGCAACUCACUUCCUCCUCUUGCCAUCAUCAAUCUUUCCUGGGCUGGAUCAUUCUGAAAGGGUGCUGUCUUUUUCAUAUCCUCUCCUUAAUUAAUUGUUAUAAUAACCCCAUUAAGCAGGUGUGACUUUCCCCAUUUUACAGAUGAGAAAAGUUCCUUACAGGAGAAUUCCAGCUAAUAACUGUGAAUGGAAUGAAAGAAUUUAAAAAUAAAUAAUUAGGCAAUAACCGUCAGUGGAAUCUGUUACUUCAAAUUCUGAUGGGAAACCUGACAGAGGAAGGACCUGGUUGGUGCCACCUGAGCCCAGUGAACAAUCAAUCUUUCGCCACUAAAAGUGGGACAACCACACUUUCUCCUGUGAUGCAACAUGAAGUACAGAAAACCAUUUAUGAAGAAUUCUUGUCAAAGAAGUUGAAUUUGAAUUGGAACAAGCUUCUAGAGCUAACUUCCACUUUAUUUACAUGAACGAAGGAGGUAAAGAAACAAGUGAAAUGCUACAAAGCUAGAAAGUGGGACACACUACAGGACAAUUGAUCUGUAAUAAGUCGAUGUCAUGAGAAAAGCAAAGCAGUGAGAUGAAGACUGCUUUAGAGUAACAGAAAAAAAAAAAGUUGUGGGCCGGCCGAGCGGCGCGUUGGUUAAGAGCUGGCUUGGGACGCCAGAGGG
Hipposideros armiger (great roundleaf bat) is the source of this 1475-nucleotide RNA transcript. It is a transcript of the gene named transmembrane protein 234, with no coding region annotated. NCBI's taxonomy places the organism in Eukaryota, Metazoa, Chordata, Mammalia, Chiroptera, Hipposideridae. The record is from RefSeq and is a predicted model, not a curated record. The transcript has 8 exons.